AACGAACGCUGGCGGCAUGCCUAACACAUGCAAGUCGAACGAGACCUUCGGGGCUAGUGGCGCACGGGUGCGUAACGCGUGGGAACCUGCCCUUAGGUUCGGAAUAACUCCCCGAAAGGGGUGCUAAUACCGGAUAAUGUCUUCGGACCAAAGAUUUAUCGCCUUUGGAUGGGCCCGCGUUGGAUUAGCUAGUUGGUAGGGUAAAAGCCUACCAAGGCGACGAUCCAUAGCUGGUCUGAGAGGAUGAUCAGCAACACUGGGACUGAGACACGGCCCAGACUCCUACGGGAGGCAGCAGUGGGGAAUAUUGGACAAUGGGCGAAAGCCUGAUCCAGCAAUGCCGCGUGAGUGAUGAAGGCCUUAGGGUUGUAAAGCUCUUUUACCCGGGAUGAUAAUGACAGUACCGGGAGAAUAAGCUCCGGCUAACUCCGUG
RNAcentral lists this ribosomal RNA (433 nucleotides) under uncultured bacterium. Its description in RNAcentral is "partial 16S ribosomal RNA". It matches the Rfam family "Bacterial small subunit ribosomal RNA", at positions 29 to 507 of the family's 1533-position model. The record is from RNAcentral.